This 558-nucleotide ribosomal RNA is filed under the name Fusarium sporotrichioides. RNAcentral's name for it is "partial 5.8S ribosomal RNA". The stretch from base 161 to 314 matches the Rfam family "5.8S ribosomal RNA". Lineage: Eukaryota; Fungi; Ascomycota; Sordariomycetes; Hypocreales; Nectriaceae. The record is from RNAcentral.
GUGACGUGUAGCAUAACGGCAUCAUGUAGCCUGUGUACAUACACUAAACGUUGCCUCGGCGGGAACAGACGGCCCCGUGAAAACGGGCCGCCCCCGCCAGAGGACCCCCUAACUCUGUUUCUAUAAUGUUUCUUCUGAGUAAAACAAGCAAAUAAAUUAAAACUUUCAACAACGGAUCUCUUGGCUCUGGCAUCGAUGAAGAACGCAGCGAAAUGCGAUAAGUAAUGUGAAUUGCAGAAUUCAGUGAAUCAUCGAAUCUUUGAACGCACAUUGCGCCCGCCAGUAUUCUGGCGGGCAUGCCUGUUCGAGCGUCAUUACAACCCUCAGGCCCCCGGGCCUGGCGUUGGGGAUCGGCGGAGGCCCUCCGUGGGCACACGCCGUCCCCCAAAUACAGUGGCGGUCCCGCCGCAGCUUCCAUCGCGUAGUAGCUAACACCUCGCGACUGGAGAGCGGCGCGGCCACGCCGUAAAACCCCCAACUCUUCUGAAGUUGACCUCGAAUCAGGUAGGAAUACCCGCUGAACUUAAGCUAUCAAAGGCGGGGAGGAAACCGCAGGAC